Molecule: long non-coding RNA, 416 nt
Organism: Pan troglodytes (chimpanzee)
Lineage: Eukaryota; Metazoa; Chordata; Mammalia; Primates; Hominidae
Exons: 3
Source: RefSeq, a predicted model, not a curated record
AGAAAAGGAGGCACAGAGAUGCAGAUGGAGAAUUCAUAGCAUGGAUUGCAGGCAAGUUCAGUGCGAUUCAAGCAGCCCCACAUACCAAUGCUGAGAUUUGAAGAGCUAAGCUGCUAGGAUGCACCCUGGGAAAAGGCUUGUGCAAUGCAGUCCUAGAAAAACUAAAACCAAAGCUGGACAAAUGAUCUUCUUUGUCUAUUCACAGCUCAAAUCCUAUAAAAGACUAUACCCAAGAGUACCAGAAAAACAGAAUAUUUCCAAUAAAGUGGAGAUGGUGCAUGAAUAACAGGAGGUGACGUUCUGCAGUUCUGGAGGCUGGAAUUCCUAGACCAGAGUGUCAGCACAGUCAACUUCUGGUGAGGGUCCUCUUCUGGGUUGCAGACUUCCAAUUUCUCUUUGAUUCCUCAUGUAACAGA